Molecule: ribosomal RNA, 1965 nt
Filed under: human gut metagenome
Description: bacterial LSU rRNA
Rfam family: Bacterial large subunit ribosomal RNA
Source: RNAcentral
AAUCGAACCCGGAGAUAGCUGGUUCUCCCCGAAAUAGCUUUAGGGCUAGCGUCGCAGCGAGAGAGCCGUGAAGGUAGAGCACUGAAUAUGCGAUGGCCGCAUCCCGCGGUACUGAGCAUAAUCAAACUCCGAAUGUCACGGUGUCAUCUGCGGCAGUCAGACGGCGAGUGAUAAGGUCCGUCGUCAAGAGGGAAACAGCCCAGACCAUCAGCUAAGGUCCCAAAGUGCAUGCUAAGUGGAAAAGGAAGUGGAGACGUGCAGACAACUAGGAGGUUGGCUCAGAAGCAGCCAUCCUUCAAAGAGUGCGUAACAGCUCACUAGUCGAAUGACUCUGCGCCGAUAAUUUACCGGGGCUAAGCAUGACACCGAAGCUAUGGACAGGAAUGUGGUAGGGGAGCAUUGCAUGCAGCGGAGAAGCAUGACCGAGAGGGCAUGUGGAGCGCAUGGAAGAGAGAAUGCCGGCGUGAGUAGCGGCACGUGGGUGAGAAUCCCACGCACCGAUGGCCCAAGGUCUCCAGAGGAAGGCUCGUCCUCUCUGGGAUAGUCGGGACCUAAGGCGAGGCCGAAAGGCGUAGCCGAUGGACGACGGGUGGAUAUUCCCGUACCCGAUGUGUGGCGAUGGAGUGACGGAGAAGGCUCAGGCAACCAGCUGCUGGAAUAGCUGGGGCAAGCGAGAUACCUGCGCACCAGGGAAAUCCGGUGCGCGCAAGGGGAAGGCGCGAAGCAUACGGAAAGCUGCGGCAAGUACGGAAAAGCUGAGAGCAGGCUUCCAGGAAAAGCUUCUAGCACAACACGCAUCGGCCCGUACCGAAAAUGGACACACAUGGGCAAGGAGAGAAUCCUGAGGUGAGCGAGAGAACUAUAGCUAAGGAACUCUGCAAAAUGACCCCGUAACUUAGGGAGAAGGGGUGCUCCAGAAAUGGAGCCGCAGUAAAACGGCCCAAGCGACUGUUUACCAAAAACACAGCUCUCUGCGAAGGCGCAAGCCGAAGUAUAGGGGGUGACGCCUGCCCGGUGCUGGAAGGUCAAGGGGAGCUGUCAGCGCAAGCGAAGCAGCGAGCCGAAGCCCCAGUAAACGGCGGCCGUAACUAUAACGGUCCUAAGGUAGCGAAAUUCCUUGUCGGGCAAGUUCCGACCCGCACGAAAGGCGUAACGAUUUGGGCGCUGUCUCAGCUGUAGACUCGGUGAAGUCUUAGUACCUGUGAAGAUGCAGGUUGCCCGCGACUAGACGGAAAGACCCCAUGGAGCUUCACUGCAGGUUGACAUUGGGCUUGGAUGCAUGAUGUACAGGAUAGGUGGGAGGCUGUGAGCCGUGCGCGCCAGCGUACGGGGAGCCGCUGUUGGGAUACCACCCUUCAUGCAUCUAGGUCCUAACCGGAGGCAACGGGCCACGGGACAGUGUCAGUCGGGCAGUUUGACUGGGGCGGUCGCCUCCCAAAGAGUAACGGAGGCGCCCAAAGAUACCCUCAGCAUGGAUGGAAACCAUGCAUAGAGUGCAAAGGCAUAAGGGUGUCUGACUGCGAGACAUACAGGUCGAGCAGGGACGAAAGUCGGGCUUAGUGAUCCGGCGGAUCCGAAUGGAAGGGCCGUCGCUCAACGGAUAAAAGCUACCCUGGGGAUAACAGGCUGAUCUCCCCCAAGAGUCCACAUCGACGGGGAGGUUUGGCACCUCGAUGUCGGCUCAUCGCAUCCUGGAGCUGAAGUCGGUUCCAAGGGUUGGGCUGUUCGCCCAUUAAAGCGGUACGCGAGCUGGGUUCAGAACGUCGUGAGACAGUUCGGUCCCUAUCUGUUGUGGGCGAAGGAGAUCUGCGGAGAGCUGUCCUCAGUACGAGAGGACCGGGAUGGACCUACCGCUGGUGCACCGGUUGUUCCGCCAGGGGCAUAGCCGGGUAGCUAAGUAGGGAAAGGAUAAGCGCUGAAAGCAUCUAAGCACGAAGCCUACUCCAAGAUGAGAUCUCCCAUUCG